This 305-nucleotide unclassified non-coding RNA is filed under the name plant metagenome. Its description in RNAcentral is "partial contains 5.8S ribosomal RNA, internal transcribed spacer 2, and large subunit ribosomal RNA". The stretch from base 1 to 105 matches the Rfam family "5.8S ribosomal RNA", at positions 50 to 154 of the family's 154-position model. The record is from RNAcentral.
GAAAUGCGUUAAGUAGUGUGAAUUGCAGAAUUCAGUGAAUCAUCGAAUCUUUGAACGCACAUUGCGCCCUUUGGUAUUCCUUAGGGCAUGCCUGUUCGAGCGUCAUCUAAACCUUCAAGCCCUGCUUGGUGUUGGGUGCCUGUCCCGCCUCCGCGCGCGGACUCACCUCAAAUCCAUUGGCGGCCCCCGCGUCGGCCACGAGCGCAGCAGAAACGCGAACUCGUGAGCCCGUCCGGGCGGCUCCCAGAAGCUACACCCACCCAGUUUGACCUCGGAUCAGGUAGGGAUACCCGCUGAACUUAAGC